This 484-nucleotide ribosomal RNA is filed under the name uncultured bacterium. RNAcentral describes it as "partial 16S ribosomal RNA". It matches the Rfam family "Bacterial small subunit ribosomal RNA", at positions 28 to 507 of the family's 1533-position model. The record is from RNAcentral.
AUUGAACGCUGGCGGCAUGCUUUACACAUGCAAGUCGAACGGCAGCGCGGGCUUCGGCCUGGCGGCGAGUGGCGAACGGGUGAGUAAUGCAUCGGAACGUGCCCAGUAGUGGGGGAUAGCCCGGCGAAAGCCGGAUUAAUACCGCAUACGACCUGAGGGUGAAAGCGGGGGACCGAAAGGCCUCGCGCUAUUGGAGCGGCCGAUGUCGGAUUAGUUAGUUGGUGGGGUAAAGGCUUACCAAGGCGACGAUCCGUAGCUGGUCUGAGAGGACGACCAGCCACACUGGGACUGAGACACGGCCCAGACUCCUACGGGAGGCAGCAGUGGGGAAUUUUGGACAAUGGGGGCAACCCUGAUCCAGCCAUGCCGCGUGCGGGAAGAAGGCCUUCGGGUUGUAAACCGCUUUUGUUCGGGAAGAAAUCCUCUGGGCUAAUACCCCGGGGGGAUGACGGUACCGGAAGAAUAAGCACCGGCUAACUACGUG